This 521-nucleotide ribosomal RNA is filed under the name uncultured Streptomyces sp. RNAcentral describes it as "bacterial SSU rRNA". It matches the Rfam family "Bacterial small subunit ribosomal RNA", at positions 144 to 674 of the family's 1533-position model. The record is from RNAcentral. Lineage: Bacteria; Bacillati; Actinomycetota; Actinomycetes; Kitasatosporales; Streptomycetaceae.
CAAGCCCUGGAAACGGGGUCUAAUACCGAAUAUGACCACUGGGCGCAUGUUCUGGUGGUGGAAAGCUUCGGCGGUGCAGGAUGAGCCCGCGGCCUAUCAGCUUGUUGGUGGGGUGAUGGCCUACCAAGGCGACGACGGGUAGCCGGCCUGAGAGGGCGACCGGCCACACUGGGACUGAGACACGGCCCAGACUCCUACGGGAGGCAGCAGUGGGGAAUAUUGCACAAUGGGCGGAAGCCUGAUGCAGCGACGCCGCGUGAGGGAUGACGGCCUUCGGGUUGUAAACCUCUUUCAGCAGGGAAGAAGCCUUUAAAAGUGACGGUACCUGCAGAAGAAGCACCGGCUAACUACGUGCCAGCAGCCGCGGUAAUACGUAGGGUGCGAGCGUUGUCCGGAAUUAUUGGGCGUAAAGAGCUCGUAGGCGGCGUGUCACGUCGGAUGUGAAAGCUCGGGGCUUAACCCUGGGUCUGCAUUCGAUACGGGCAGGCUAGAGUUCGGUAGGGGAGAUCGGAAUUCCUGGU